GUCUUAAAGAUUAAGCCAUGCAUGUCUAAGUAUAAAUAGUAUACAGUGAAACUGCGAAUGGCUCAUUAAAACUAGUUAUUAGUUUAUUUGAUAAUUGAAUUCUACAUGGAUAACCGUAGUAAUUCUAGAGCUAAUACAUGCUGUAAAACCUGACUUUUCGGAAAGGUUGUAUUUAUUAGAUAUCAAACCAAUAAUCUUUCGGGAUUAUUGUGAUGAUUCAUAAUAACUGAUCGGAUCAAGGUGUACCUUGAUAGAUCAUUCAAGUUUCUGCCCUAUCAGCUUUCGAUGGUAGUGUAUUGGACUACCAUGGCAGUCACGGGUAACGGAGAAUUAGGGUUCGAUUCCGGAGAGGGAGCCUGAGAAACGGCUACCACAUCUACGGAAGGCAGCAGUCGCGUAAAUUACCCAAUCCUGAUUCAGGGAGGUAGUGACAAGAAAUAACAACUCGGGGCCUCACGGCUUACGAGAUUGCAAUGAGAACAAUUUAAAUCUCUUAGCAAGG
Molecule: ribosomal RNA, 502 nt
Filed under: uncultured eukaryote
Lineage: Eukaryota
Description: SSU rRNA
Rfam family: Eukaryotic small subunit ribosomal RNA
Source: RNAcentral